AGGCGGAGGAAAGACCGAGAGGAGGAGGAGGAGGAGGAGGAGAGGAGUGGAUGGAGAGCUGCAGACGACGGAGGAGGGGGGGAAGGUAUUUCUACUGAUGGAUCAAACAGUGUGAUGAGCAGCAUGCUGGGCAGGCUAUCUCCACCCUUCCUCCUCCUCCUCCUUCGUCCGUGAGUCCUUCCCGGA
Xyrichtys novacula (pearly razorfish) is the source of this 186-nucleotide non-coding RNA. Lineage: Eukaryota; Metazoa; Chordata; Actinopteri; Labriformes; Labridae. The record is from the annotation of a GenBank genome assembly.